AUUACUAUGGAGAGUUUGAUCCUGGCUCAGGAUGAACGCUAGCGGCAGGCUUAAUACAUGCAAGUCGAGGGGGCAGCAAUGUCACC
Molecule: ribosomal RNA, 86 nt
Filed under: Lacihabitans sp. CS3-21
Lineage: Bacteria; Pseudomonadati; Bacteroidota; Cytophagia; Cytophagales; Leadbetterellaceae
Description: partial 16S ribosomal RNA
Rfam family: Bacterial small subunit ribosomal RNA
Source: RNAcentral